This 820-nucleotide long non-coding RNA is filed under the name Homo sapiens (human). RNAcentral's name for it is "HSALNT0295906". Lineage: Eukaryota; Metazoa; Chordata; Mammalia; Primates; Hominidae. The record is from RNAcentral.
AACAAAUGUCCACACAGUUAGGAAGCCCAAGGGCCCUCUGCCCUUUCCUCUCUGCCUUCCUGGAGCAUGAACCCACACAGGGCACACAGCAGCAAGGCAUCCCCGGGCAGUGCCGUGCCCACUCACCAGCUUCUUCCUGCGGUCAUCGAUCUGGCAGAAGUUCUCCUCAUCUAUCCCCAAACAUGGGCUUCCUUGAGGCACAGUCAUUCAACCAACCAGCCAGCAUUCAUUGAGCACCAUCUAUGUCCUGGGCACUGCUAGGGGAUGGUGAUAACAGGGAGAAGACUCUGUCCCUGCCUUCCAAUUGUGUAGAGGAAGACAUCCCCCUACAUGAUGGGUGAGACAUAGCAGAAGUGAGUAGGGGAUGAGGUGGGGGCUCAGAGGAGGGCAUGGUCAGCCUGUCUGGGAGGGAGUUGCAUGUGUGCAUCUGAGGUAGGGACAGGCAUGCAUCUUACAGGAUGAAUAUCGAGCAGAGUUACAGAGAGGGGGAAACUCCUUGAGGUUUCAGGAAUCACCUAAUCCACUGUGACUCACAAAUUCCUGCCUCUUGGCUUUGCCUGCAGCAUAUCUCCUGGAAGUGUGCUGGGGCAAAACUCAUCCCAGACCACCAUCUCCAUCCUCCCCCAAUACACCCUGGCUCUCCCUGGCUACCCUUGAGCACGGUGCACGUGUGCAUGGGUGCAUGCCUGCAUAUAUAGCUAUCCCCCAUGUAUUUCCCAAAGCCCUACAUAAUGCUUCAGUUUGCUAAGGAAAAAAUGUUAAUUACUGCAAAUGUGUUUAAAACUGUAAAAGUACAUUAAACAAACUCUGUAAAGUGUGA